RNAcentral lists this transfer RNA (72 nucleotides) under Camelus bactrianus (Bactrian camel). It matches the Rfam family "tRNA". From Rfam's summary of the family: Transfer RNA (tRNA) molecules are approximately 80 nucleotides in length. Their secondary structure includes four short double-helical elements and three loops (D, anti-codon, and T loops). Further hydrogen bonds mediate the characteristic L-shaped molecular structure. tRNAs have two regions of fundamental functional importance: the anti-codon, which is responsible for specific mRNA codon recognition, and the 3' end, to which the tRNAs corresponding amino acid is attached (by aminoacyl-tRNA synthetases). tRNAs cope with the degeneracy of the genetic code in two manners: having more than one tRNA (with a specific anti-codon) for a particular amino acid; and 'wobble' base-pairing, i.e. permitting non-standard base-pairing at the 3rd anti-codon position. The record is from Rfam by way of RNAcentral. Lineage: Eukaryota; Metazoa; Chordata; Mammalia; Artiodactyla; Camelidae. RNAcentral also lists the same sequence under 2 other names.
GAAGAUAUAGCUCAGUGGUAGAGUCCAUGCUUAGCAAGCACAGGGUCCUGGGUUCAAUCUCCAGUACUUCCC